Molecule: ribosomal RNA, 516 nt
Filed under: Boophis reticulatus
Lineage: Eukaryota; Metazoa; Chordata; Amphibia; Anura; Mantellidae
Description: partial 16S ribosomal RNA
Rfam family: Bacterial large subunit ribosomal RNA
Source: RNAcentral
CAGCUGUAAGAGCUAACCCCUCUCUGUCGCAAUAGAGUGGGACGACUUUUAAGUAGAGGCGACAAACCUACCGAACUUAGAGAUAGCUGGUUAUUUAAGAAAAGAAUUUAAGUUCAGCCCCAAGCCUCUUUUUAUCAAAAAAAAUUUCCUCAGACUUGGGAGUUACUCAAAUAAGGCACAGCUUAUUUGAAACAGGACACAACCUAGAAUACUGGGUAAAACAAUUGAAAUUGUGGCAAGUGGGCCUAAAAGCAGCCACCUUCAAAAAAGCGUCAAAGCUUACCAACAACAACUUCCUAAUAACCUCAACAAUUUUUAUCCCACAUAUCCUAUUAAAUUACCCCAUACAACUAUGGGAGCUAUAAUGCUAGAACGAGUAACAAGAAAAAGACUUUCUCCAAAAUGUAAGCUUAAGCCGCAAUGGACCAACCGCCGGCAAUCAACGCCUCUGAGCUAAUUUUAGUAACACUAACAAGAAAACCCUAAAAGCCUCAACGUCAACCUUACACUAGUACA